RNAcentral lists this long non-coding RNA (1380 nucleotides) under Pan paniscus (pygmy chimpanzee). RNAcentral describes it as "lncRNA (ENSPPAG00000044665.1)". The record is from RNAcentral. Lineage: Eukaryota; Metazoa; Chordata; Mammalia; Primates; Hominidae.
AAAAGAACCUAUAUCCAAAGAGCUGGGUUCUCCUUUCGGAUGUGAUGUUGAACAGUUUCUCUGUGUGCUUCAUCUCCACCUCCCUCCCAGCUUUUAUGUCCCUUCUACUUCGUCUUCAAACUCGAGUUCAAAUCUCCUUCCCUCUGAAAACCCCCUCUCGACUGUGCUACCCAUUGUAAAGACCGACUCUUCAGUGAAGACACAGAAUCAGCAUUUGGGAGAUGCGGAGACCAGGGACGACUCCUUCCUCCUGGGAGAGCUGGGAUUCCAGUCCUGGGAGUGAUUCUGGGUCAUCAGGCCGGAGAAUCACACUCUCUGCUAUCAGCAUCCAACCUACUCGAGUCCUGACCCCACACUGCCAGGAGAGUCCAGCAAGCCCUGAGGGCCUGAGCACAGCCAGGCUGGACACUGGAGGCAGCCCCGGGAGAUGCAAAUAAUUGGGUUAUUGAAAAAUGAAGGUGAGGAGGAGGAGGAGAAGGAAGGUGAAAAAAGUGAAGGUGGAUGGCAUUUGCCAUUCCUCGGAGAUUUGCACAUAUCCUGGUUGUAUUAAAUCAGCAGCCUGUAUGGUGUGGUGAGCUCCAAAAUACGUUUCCUGUGAAGAAGGCUUAUAUUCUGCAAAUUUCUACUUCCUGUUCACUGUGCAUAACAAAAGUCGCCAUAAUAAAAGUGAGUUGCAGGAAACCCACUGUGUCUGAACUGCACUGAAGGCUUGGGGACACACACUGGUCUCCCAUGGUGAUAAUUUAUCUACACAAAUCCUCCUGUCCUGGGAUGAGGCAGGAGCUCCAAGGUGACCAAGCAUUCCAAAAAAAGCCACACGCCUCACAAAACUUGGCUCCAGGGAGCAGGUGGGUGUGUAUCCCGGGAAAGGGAUCAGUGGUGUCUGAGUCAAGAAGAGCCCAGUGGUCCAAGCAAGAGCAAAGAAAAACAGCCCAUGCGGUUUAGUCAAGAGAGAGCCGGGCAGGAUGUCGGGAAUGCUGACUUCUCUGCUCAGCAGCUUACCCAGCUGGGGCAAGGCACUCAAUGCCUCGUUGUCCUCCGAACUGUCACCUGGCAAUGAGGGAAGUAUAUCAAAGAGAGAACGAGGCCUCUGAAUUGCUUCAGGGCCCAUAAAAGGAGGACAGCUCCAUUUUGAAGUUUUUGAGGAUCAGGGUGGGAACAACUUAUGCUUGUUUGUUCUGUGACUAAACGAUGGACCCCAACUUGUGCCAGCUGCAUUUCAUUCAUUUGUUCCUUCCUUCCUACCUACCUUCCUUCCUUCCUUCAUUCACUUAAGAAGUACUUAUUUUGAACUAGUCCUAGAGAUACCCAUUCUCCUCUAGUGGAGCCGAUAGAUUACCAGGGAAGACAGCGGCAUCAAUAACCACAUGGACAUUAAGG